Long non-coding RNA from Sebastes umbrosus (honeycomb rockfish), 1286 nucleotides. RefSeq lists it as uncharacterized. The record is from RefSeq and is a predicted model, not a curated record. The transcript has 5 exons. NCBI's taxonomy places the organism in Eukaryota, Metazoa, Chordata, Actinopteri, Perciformes, Sebastidae.
UAUGUAACAAGAUGUAUCUGGUCCAGGUCCCCUGUAUGGUGCAUGCUGCUCACCGUUGGCGUUUCUUACCGGAUACACUUGAAUGUAACAUCUGACAUCAUUAUUGACAUUUGUUGCAGCUGCGUGUCAAAGUAGCUGAAUGUUUGCUGCGGAAAAAAGGUCGCAGACGAUGGAUUUUAAACACUUUCGACGACAAAAUUUCAUGAUAGAGAGUGAAAUAUGAAAAUAUAGCUAGAUUAUUUUGUUUUUAUCACUUCUGUGUAAUGUUCAAGGACUAUUGCAGGAGAAAAGUUCAAAGAACUUGUUUCCAAAUGAGGAUAUUUGCUCCACUGUUGGACAUGAAUGAAGCUCAGCAACAGGCUACGGAAGCAACUUUAUUAUCAGCCAUGAAUAAAACAGAGCAGUAAAACAAACCGUCGGGCACGUAGGUCUUGAGGAUGAUUUGGCAGAAGAUGGUGGGCAACGACAGGGGCUUGUUGCCCUCGUUCCUCAGCGAGAUGUGACGGUAGCCAGCCUGCAGGCCGUCCAGAGGCAGGAUGCGCUGGCCAAUCAGCUUGUUGUUGUCGUCGUAGACGGCGAUGCGCAGUACUGCCAGAUCUGGAUUUAACAGUUUUCCUGCAUGAUUGAAGUGUCAGAUGACCUGACCUGUACGCUGCAGGUUGCAGCGAUGACUCCAUCCACCGGCGUCUCUGAAAAAGGGUCAAACAUCCUGUCUGACCGCCGCAUGAAGUCAGGCUUCAGCAGAAGCUCCACCUUUUGUGUGACCCCCCCUCCAGGCUCACACAUGCUCCACUCCCAGCAGGCCAUAUGGUCCGACCAUUUUUGCUUCUGGCCAUGGAGCAGCAGCUGUUUUCCAACAGGCAUCACUCACUGUAUAGGUGUGUAUGUGGCAGUUUACGAAAAUGUGUGUGUAACAGAGAGUGAAAAACAGAUGAAGUUGGUGAGUGGACUAGGAGGUGUGUGUGCACGCACGCUCAGGUUCAUGCAUGCAUAACCUGAUGCUGCAAGACAAUAAAUGGCCCAGUGAGAUGCAGGAUUUAUUUUUAUGUCACAAAUAUGGUGAAAAUGUUUGCCUGAUCUUGUUUAUAGUGGACAUAAUUCUAUAAAACAAGCAAUGUGGCCAGAAAUAGUACUAUGGUUUCCCAAAACAUUUGCUUAAAGCUGGAGUUGGUAACUUUGAGCAAAUAUGAAAAAAAAGUUGUUUUUAUAAAACGGUAACUAUAUCCUGACAGUAGUGCAUGAGACAGGUAAUCUGUGAAAAAAGUCAUGUUCCUCUGCCUCCUCCU